Molecule: ribosomal RNA, 465 nt
Filed under: Vreelandella stevensii
Lineage: Bacteria; Pseudomonadati; Pseudomonadota; Gammaproteobacteria; Oceanospirillales; Halomonadaceae
Description: partial 16S ribosomal RNA
Rfam family: Bacterial small subunit ribosomal RNA
Source: RNAcentral
CCUACGGGUGGCAGCAGUGGGGAAUAUUGGACAAUGGGGGCAACCCUGAUCCAGCCAUGCCGCGUGUGUGAAGAAGGCCCUCGGGUUGUAAAGCACUUUCAGUGAGGAAGAACGCCUGGUGGUUAAUACCCAUCAGGAAAGACAUCACUCACAGAAGAAGCACCGGCUAACUCCGUGCCAGCAGCCGCGGUAAUACGGAGGGUGCGAGCGUUAAUCGGAAUUACUGGGCGUAAAGCGCGCAUAGGUGGCUUGAUAAGCCGGUUGUGAAAGCCCCGGGCUCAACCUGGGAACGGCAUCCGGAACUGUCAAGCUAGAGUGCAGGAGAGGAAGGUAGAAUUCCCGGUGUAGCGGUGAAAUGCGUAGAGAUCGGGAGGAAUACCAGUGGCGAAGGCGGCCUUCUGGACUGACACUGACACUGAGGUGCGAAAGCGUGGGUAGCAAACAGGAUUAGAUACCCCAGUAGUC